Molecule: long non-coding RNA, 491 nt
Organism: Rhipicephalus microplus (southern cattle tick)
Lineage: Eukaryota; Metazoa; Arthropoda; Arachnida; Ixodida; Ixodidae
Source: RefSeq, a predicted model, not a curated record
CGUUCGGUCAGAUAUCGCACUGUCCUCUUCGAUAUCAGUCGACGAACCUGCGCGCAAGCAGCCUCUCGUCUCAAAACCAUGGACCUGGACCUCAGCGUGCUGUUCCACUGCGACUACUGCGGUGACAUUCUUAUAGUCUUCUAAGCAAGACAACUAUGGUCUUCGAACCACUUAUAGCACUCGCACUUUUUUUCGCCCUGCGGAUGACGUCCAAUUCGCCUCACUGAUGACCCUGCAUGGUUUAGGAUGAAGACGCCUAUCUCCCGGUCUGCGAACUGCUGUACCGAUAACACCUCGGGGCCUCGCUUCAAAGGUAGCCGUCAGGAAGACUGAAGAUGGUACCCAAAAAUAGUAUGUCGCUACAGAAUAGAAUGAAGAGUAGUAUGUCGCUACAGACCUUGUAAGGUGCCGUUAUACAAUACGUGUAUGAAAAAUGUUAGUCCCAAACUAAAACAAUUUCCUAAAUAAAAAGAAGUCAUCCUGACAAACAA